UGCAUAUCAAAAAGCGGAGGAAAAGAAACCAACAGGGAUUGCCCUAGUAACGGCGAGUGAAGCGGCAACAGCUCAAAUUUGAAAUCUGGCUCUUUUAGAGUCCGAGUUGUAAUUUGCAGAGGGCGCUUUGGCUUUGGCAGCGGUCCAAGUUCCUUGGAACAGGACGUCACAGAGGGUGAGAAUCCCGUACGUGGUCGCUGGCUAUUGCCGUGUAAAGCCCCUUCGACGAGUCGAGUUGUUUGGGAAUGCAGCUCUAAAUGGGAGGUACAUUUCUUCUAAAGCUAAAUAUUGGCCAGAGACCGAUAGCGCACAAGUAGAGUGAUCGAAAGAUGAAAAGCACUUUGGAAAGAGAGUCAAACAGCACGUGAAAUUGUUGAAAGGGAAGCGCUUGCAGCCAGACUUGCUUACAGUUGCUCAUCCGGGUUUCUACCCGGUGCACUCUUCUGUAGGCAGGCCAGCAUCAGUUUGGGCGGUAGGAUAAAGGUCUCUGUCACGUACCUCCUUUCGGGGAGGCCUUAUAGGGGAGACGACAUACUACCAGCCUGGACUGAGGUCCGCGCAUCUG
RNAcentral lists this ribosomal RNA (565 nucleotides) under Alternaria alternata. Its description in RNAcentral is "eukaryotic LSU rRNA". It matches the Rfam family "Eukaryotic large subunit ribosomal RNA", at positions 37 to 605 of the family's 3401-position model. Lineage: Eukaryota; Fungi; Ascomycota; Dothideomycetes; Pleosporales; Pleosporaceae. The record is from RNAcentral.